AAAAUAAAAAUUAAUAAUGGGGGUUAUUAAUAAAAAAAAUUUUAUUGUGUUGAGUUUUAAGUAGGGUUAUUUGAAAAAAUUUAAUAUUUUAUAGUUAAUUAGUAUUGUAAAAGAAUUUUGAAAAUAUAUGAAAAUAAAUUUAUUAAAAAGUAAUUUUAAUUUAAUGUAUCUUGUGUAUCAGAGUUUAUUAAUAAAAUAAUUAUUUUUAAUUUUUUUCGAAUUUAAAAGAGAUAAUUAUUUAUUAAAGUUAUUGUUGCAUAAAUAUUUUAAAUAAUUAAUUUGAAAUGAGAUGUUAAUCGUUUUUAAAUAUAUCUAAUUUUUUUAGAAAAAAAUUUAAUUUUAAAUUAAUUUAAUAAUUGAUUUAUUUUUUUUUAUAAUUUUAUUAUUAAAUUAAUUUUAUAUUUUAAGGGAUAAGCUUUAAAUUAAAUUUUUAUAAUUUUUUAAUUUUUAAUUAAAAUUUUUAUUAUUUAUAUUGUAAGUAAAUUUUAUUUUAUUAUAAAUAAUUUUAUAUUUAUUUAAAAUUUAAUUUAAAUUUAAUUUUUUAUAAAAAAAAUUUUUUAAUUAAAUAAAAUAUGAUAUAAUGAUAAAAUUAGUAUAUAAAUUUAAUUUAAUAAAAUAUUAUUUAUAUUUAUUAAUUUUAAGGAAUUCGGCAAAAUUUUAUGUCCACUUGUUUAUCAAAAACAUGUCUUUUUGAUUUUAAUUUAAAGUUUAAUCUGCCCACUGAUGAAAAUUAAAGGGCUGCAGUAUUUUGACUGUACAAAGGUAGCAUAAUCAUUAGUCUUUUAAAUGGUGACUUGUAUGAAUGAUUGGAUGAGAUAUAAGCUGUCUUAAAUUUAUUUGAUAGAAUUUAAUUUUUUAAUUAAAAAGUUAAAAUACAUUAAAAAGACGAGAAGACCCUAUAGAGUUUUAUAAGUAAAAUUAAAUUAAGAAUAUUUAUAAAUUAAAAUUAUUUAAAAUUUGUUUAUUUAUUUGAUUGGGGUGAUUAAAAAAUUUAAUUAACUUUUUUUAAUUUUUAACAUAGAUAAAUGAUUUAAUGGAUCCAAUUUUAUUGAUUGAAAGAAAAAAUUACCUUAGGGAUAACAGCGUAAUUUUUUUUUUUAGUUCGUAUAAAAAAAAGAGUUUGCGACCUCGAUGUUGGAUUAAGAUGAAAUUUAAAUGUAAAAGUUUGAGUGUUUUGAUCUGUUCGAUCAUUAAAAUCUUACAUGAUCUGAGUUCAAACCGGUGUAAGCCAGGUUGGUUUCUAUCUUUUAGGAAAAAUAAUAUUUUAGUACGAAAGGAUCGAGUAUUAAAAUUAAAUUUAAUAUUUAAAGAAUAUUAUUAAAAUUUAUUUAAAAUUAAUAAAAUUAUAAAAUUUGUUUAGUUUAAUUUAAUAAUAAAUGAUAAUGGGAUUUUUAUUGUUAAUAAUAGAAAUUUAUUUAAGUAAUUUUAAUUUAUAGUAUAUUUAAUUUAUAU
Molecule: ribosomal RNA, 1452 nt
Filed under: Dendrolimus punctatus (masson pine moth)
Lineage: Eukaryota; Metazoa; Arthropoda; Insecta; Lepidoptera; Lasiocampidae
Description: 16S ribosomal RNA
Source: RNAcentral